This is a non-coding RNA of Cinara cedri, 356 nucleotides long. Lineage: Eukaryota; Metazoa; Arthropoda; Insecta; Hemiptera; Aphididae. The record is from the annotation of a GenBank genome assembly.
AGAAAACAAAUUAAAAUAAAUCCAUUCAGGACUAACACAUGACACAAAUAGGUAGGUAGGUAAAUGGUAUAAUUUAAACCACACGUGUCGCGAUAUAUUUUCGAGAGAAAAUUUGUGCUGCAGUCCUAAAAGGUUUGAGAAACAUUGGUAUAGUUGAAAGAAAACACGUUUUGAACAUUCUUGAUAUGUAGCAAAAUAAUCAAACCCGUGUUGUAAAUAAAUUGAAGCAUAACCAAGGGAGAAAACAAAUUAAAGUAAAUCCAUUCAGGACUAACACAUGACACAAUAAGGUAGGUAUUAUUGAACGGUGAUUAUUUUUAUUUUUUAAUUAUACCUAAUAUUGUAUACGAUCUACC